Molecule: ribosomal RNA, 253 nt
Filed under: uncultured bacterium
Lineage: Bacteria
Description: partial 16S ribosomal RNA
Rfam family: Bacterial small subunit ribosomal RNA
Source: RNAcentral
UACGUAGGGACCAAGCGUUGUUCGGAUUUACUGGGCGUAAAGGGCGCGUAGGCGGCGCGGUAAGUCACUUGUGAAAUCUCUGAGCUUAACUCAGAACGGCCAAGUGAUACUGCAGUGCUAGAGUGUGGAAGGGGCAAUCGGAAUUCUUGGUGUAGCGAUGAAAUGCGUAGAUAUCAAGAGGAACACCUGAGGUGAAGACGGGUUGCUGGGCCAACACUGACGCUGAUGCGCGAAAGCCAGGGGAGCAAACGGG